Molecule: long non-coding RNA, 1352 nt
Organism: Glycine soja
Lineage: Eukaryota; Viridiplantae; Streptophyta; Magnoliopsida; Fabales; Fabaceae
Exons: 8
Source: RefSeq, a predicted model, not a curated record
AGUUUGAUUCUUGGUGAUUGGAGAUUGGUGAAAAAAUAGCUUACAAGCAAUCUAAAUUCGUAUUUUAGCAUACUAUGGAAAAACACAGAAAGUUGAAUAUCAUUUAGAAUGAUUGUCAAUCACAAGCAAAAGAGCAAUCAAUUGAAAGUUCUACUGAAGUAAACCAAAAUAACAACUCUAUACUUGAAGAAAAUACACAAUUUGAAGGAGAACAACACAUACAAGAAGAUAGUCAUGUUUAGUCUCAUACUUCUCUUGAAAGUGCAAGUGAAAGUUCAACUAAAGGUAAAAAGAGAACCAGAGGUUAUACACAUAUGCUAGAUGUGUGGAACUUGUCAGAUGGAAAAUUCAUACUUGUUGAAGUAGAUCAUUGGGGCAAUCCUAUGGGUUGGAAAGGGAAAACUCUACUGAAUGCAAUUGGGAGCUUGGUAAGGAGACACCAGUGUGCUCCUAUCAAUUUUCUUAGCUGGAAAGACAUGCCUAAGGACUAUAUUACUGACAUGGUUGAAUUAAUUCAGAAAAUAAGCAACAUCAACAAAAGGAGCCGCUCAAAAUAUGAGGACUUGCAUUGCAUGGGAACCAAUAAUCUUCCAAGACGGAUUCAUGAGAUGACUACAAAGGCUAAGGGAGUGCAACCUUCUAGGGCAGAAAUUUAUAUUGACACUUGAACUCGAAAAGAUGGAAGCAUUGUUACUGAAAAGGCUGCUAUUGUAAUUGAUGAACUAAAAAAGAAAAUGGUUGAAGCGGAGAGUUCGCAAAAUUUACAAAGUACCCAAGAUUCUACUAAUUGGACAAAUGAUAUAUAUUCAAAAGUCAAAGGACCUGAAAAAAGAGGACGUGUGCGUUAUCUUGGCAAGCUUCCACAUCAAGCAAGUUCAUCUCAAAGCUCUUAUACAAACAAUAGGAUUCAAAAGUUGGAGAAUUUGCUUGGAAACCUUGUAGUUGUGCUUAAAGUACGAUUUGCAGAAGAUCCACAAAUUAAUCAAGUCUUAGAAGCUAUAGAUCAAGAGGUACCUACAAAUGGUUCUACCAGUAAAGAUCAUCAAACUAAAAACAAUCUUAACUAGAGGUGAGUUGAAAUUUAGAUGGUAAUGAAGAUGCGAGUCGGCGACAAAAUGUUCAAGUGUUUGGUUUUUACUUUGUCUAUUUGUCCAACAACUAGAAUUAACUCUUUUAUACAUUUAGAAAUUUAGAAACUUGUUACAUUUUAGUGAUGAUUCCCUCCAUGUAAAGAGGGUCAUGGUGCACCAAAAAUAUACACUUAGGAAGGACUAUGCACAUGGUACUAAAAAACAAGGCAAAGUGAAUUGGAAAAUUUUCUAUAGCACUACUAAUGCUAGAUCAUUUCACAA